RNAcentral lists this ribosomal RNA (253 nucleotides) under uncultured bacterium. RNAcentral's name for it is "partial 16S ribosomal RNA". It matches the Rfam family "Bacterial small subunit ribosomal RNA", at positions 524 to 776 of the family's 1533-position model. The record is from RNAcentral.
UACGAAGGGUGCAAACGUUGCUCGGAAUCAUUGGGCGUAAAGCGCACGUAGGCGGCUUCGCAAGUCGGGUGUGAAAGCCCCGGGCUCAACCUGGGAAUUGCAUUCGAGACUGCAUUGCUGGAGUACGGAAGAGGAAGGCGGAAUUCCCGGUGUAGCGGUGAAAUGCGUAGAUAUCGGGAGGAACAUCAGUGGCGAAGGCGGCCUUCUGGUCCAGUACUGACACUCAAGUGCGAAAGCGUGGGGAGCAAACAGG